Molecule: long non-coding RNA, 3480 nt
Filed under: Nicotiana tabacum (common tobacco)
Lineage: Eukaryota; Viridiplantae; Streptophyta; Magnoliopsida; Solanales; Solanaceae
Description: long non-coding RNA (NTAB_LNC003337)
Source: RNAcentral
AUCAAGAUUAAUUAUAUUUAAUCUUGUGCUACAAUCAUUCCUGAUGGUUUGUCCAAUUCCAUCAUUAGAUUGUGAACUCAAACUUUAUACUUAUAUGAACCGAUGAUUUAAUCUUCCGUGUAUAAGCUAAACUCUAUACACUAAAUCAUCUACUAUAUAAGCAAAGGACACAGACUAUUAUAUGAUCUAUUUAAAACUUUAUUAAAACUGAAUAAACAAUUAUUUCAUAAUAAAUACUAUAUCUAAACCAAACUCAUGGUUAAUAGUAUAUAUCCCAACAGAAGUCAACUGAGAUAUCUCAAUUAUAUAAGUAUGUUAAUAUUUAGUUCUAUUUAUGGAAAACCUUUUGUCUCUGACUGAAAUUUAGGAAUUUCGAUGUUUAUGAUUAUAUCCUUCAUUUAUACUCUUAGGCAACCUAUCGGACGAUCCCUUUUAGUGUGUCCUUGAAGGUGAGUUUGCGUUUUAUUUUCUUUAUUGGACGUAUUUUUAGCAGUUCAAUAAAAAGAGAAAAUAUCAUUGAUCCUUGCAAUAUCAAGAAGUAUGAUCUUUCUACGACUAUGCGAUAAGAGUGAAUCAAGUAGACAGCUUUAGGCCUUGAUAGUCGCAUUUUACUGUACAUUAGCUAAUAAGAAGAGAUUGUGAGAGUGAUUGAAAGAUAUUACUAAAUUAUUAGUCUUCGACAAACUGUUUUCUUACAACCCUCAUAAAAAAUUAUGUAGGUUUAAUUUAUCUUACCUUCUCCAAAAACAAAAAAAGGAAGUAUGAAUUUUCUAAACGAUCAGAUAGUGUUGUCUAUAAAAGGUCCAAAAAUAUGAUGAAGUUUAUUCUUACGUGUGUUGAUACCAUAGCAGUUGGAUUCUAAAGGAUUCAAGAAAGACAAUGAUUUUAAGCUGUAAAUACAAUUUCAUAAGUGUGAAAUUUUUUAAUGUAAAAUGGUGGCACAACUACGAUAAGUGAGUUGGCUAGCUUUCACCUGGUAAAAAAUUAGUCCUUUUUUCUUUCUGUUUCAACCAGUUUCUAAGUUGUCAGUAUUAUGAUAUGCCAUUUUUAUUUUUCAGGUAUUUAAUAGAUGUGAUGAUCUGAUUAGAUAGACAACUAUUAUACUUGCUAUAAUUACCUUUGCUUGAAGAUCUCAUUAUAAGAUAAAUAAAUAUUUGCAGCAAGAUUUUUGCACUACAAAUGUUCUGCUAUAUAAAAUACAAUACUCAUCUUUAUAAAAAAUAGAAUAUAAUAGUCACUCAAGAAGCAGGUAAGCUUGACUUUUCGAUACAUGUGGUCGCAUUAGGCGUUCUAUGCAGGUCUUGCAAAUGAAGUCAGCACUUUUAAUUAUUUGCAGUUUGAAUUAGCACUUCCAACAGAUGUAUGUUCUCUAAGGUUAUUGCUAAAUCUUUUACCAUUACUCUAAUUCCUCUUUAUAGAUAAUUUUGGAUGCUGAAACUUAAAAUAUAGUACGUGAGAGGCAUCGUCCUGCAACUCAAGAACUUAAUGUAGUAAUGUCUUCAUCACAGAAGCUUAUUGGUUAACUAAAUACUUGCACAUCCUUUGUAAAAUAAGAUAGUUGCACCCUAUUCUAUCGUCAAUUGCAAAUCCAAAGAUAUCAAAUCUCACCUACUAAAAUAUUUGAAAAAUUCAUUCUACUCUGUCCAACAUUUGUGUCCAAAAAUUUAUUCUACUCUGUCCAUUAAUAUGGUCUAUUUACAAGUAAAGAUCUUUAAAUGAGAGGAAGGAGUGCUCAGAUUUCUCAAGGAGAUACAACGAUCCUGAAUGAUAACACAAAAAUCAUGCAAAAUAUUUGACUAUGCUGAUUAUGAGAUGGUAACCUAUUCUAUCUGGUUCAUCUUUACCUAUCAUGUGGUUUCUAAAUCAGUAUGUUAUUCAUGAAGUAGGGAUCAUUGAUUCUUUUAGUUGCUGGAGUUGCCCUCUCCUAUGCUGCAGCUUGGAAAUUGAAUUCUUUUUUCUGACUGACGAGAAAACUCUUCGAGGUCCAUGAUUUUCUGCUUGAUUUUCGCAAUACAUAUUUUUCUAAGUGUAGUAGUAAUUGGCCAAUGUAUUCUGCGUAAUGGGUUGGGAAAAAAGGAAGGUUUUUGCAUAUAAUCUCCUUUGUCACUCUACUAAUUUAGGAUUUAGGAUUUAGGCUGGCUAUUUCUACAAGUAUGUGACUUCUUGUUAUGUGUGUUGUAGUUUUUUCUCCUCAAAUAAUCUGUGUAACUGUAUGUCUUGGAGUUUUUCCUGCCACGUUUAAAAUUUAUUUGGUUAACAGUAUAGUAAGCCUAUAAGAUGUGCUUGUAAGCCACAUUUCUUUUGCUUUGCUUGGAGCAGUGAGGUUAUGACUCUUUCUGUUGAUGACCUUUGUUAAUGGAGUCUCUGUAAAAGUUAACCCUUUUCUUCUUUCUUUUUUUUUUUGAAAAGGUAACCCUUUUGUUCUUUCGUGGAACUUCCAUACUUAUGUAGAAUUUUGGAUGUCAUAAUCCUGUGUGAAUUUGAAAAUCUUCUUAUAAAUGAGCGCAUGUGUGUGCAGUGUAUAUUAGCUCUGACUCCCUGAAUCAUUGUAUUAUCAGUAGAUAGAUCAUUGUUCUUUUCACUAUUGAAAAUGCACAGGCUAAAGUGUAUCUUUGGGAAUUUAUUUCUAUUAAUGUUCAAGGGGUAGUAUAUUUAGCCUUCUGAAUAAAUGUUCAAUUGGAAUGCUUUAAAUUCUUUCUGUUGCCUUAUAGAUUAUUUGUGGCUGGCUUUCCUUUUCCUUCCCUUCACUUUUUCCCCCUUCAUUUUUCCAGUUUUAUUUGGUGGUUUUGUGUACUUCCACGCUAUAUUGAUUCAAUCCUUUAAAAAGUAGAUGAUAAUUCAAUUGCUCUCACUUUAAUAAUGUAGGUUGUAGAUCUGGUACUAAAGUUUAUGCGCAUAAUCCUUUCUUGGUUCAUAAUUCAUUUUUCAUUUUACAAAUUAUUCUCUAUGCACCUGUAAUUGAUUCAUUUUUAUUCCUAUUACUCUUUUGAAUGCAGUGCCCUCCAGAUCUUUAACUUGUGAAAUGUAAUCGGAUUAUCCAAGGAUAAUUUUUCUCCAAAAUCCAUUACUUCUUCGGUGACUAUCCAGAUUUAACGCGUUGAAGGGCUUUCCCACUUAACAUCUAUUUAUUGUAGUUCUAAUGUAUGUUAGUUUUCCCUCAAGCAUGGACAUACGUAUAGUUGGCUAUUCUUAAUAUUACAUAUGGAUGAAUAUGCUUUUGUAUAUGUAUUUUGUGGAGGGAAGUGGUGGACUGAGUGAUGGACACUUGUAAAUGGUGACUGCGAAUAGAUUUUACAGUCAUAAAAGUAUAUUAUAGUGUUGCAGUAGAUGUUGGAUAAUCAAAGUCAAUAAUUUGUUGGACUUGAUUGUAAUUUUAUCCAAGCACUAUGGUUGUGAUCUUUUUUCACUUAUAUGUUGUAGAGCUUUGCUCAUCGUAUAUAGUAUGAAACUUUAACAUGUUGGUUGAAAAUAUGUUUUUGC